GUCGUGGGGGAUAACUCUCCCAAAGUAGAGCUAAUUCCCCAUAGUUCCUGCGGGAAAAAGCGGGGGACCUGCCUGGGCCUCGCGGGAUUGGAUCGUCCUAUAUCAGAUUAUCUGGUUGGUGGGGUAAAGGCUCACUAAGGCGACCAUCCGUAUAGGGUCUGACAGGACAACCCUCCACUCUGGAACUGAGACACGGUUCAGACUCCUACGGAAGGCAGCAGUGGGGAAUUUUGGAUAAUGGGGGCAACCCUGAUCCAUCCAUUCCGCGUGAGUGAAUAAGGCCUUCGGGUUGUAACGCUCUUUCAGCAGGAACGAAAUGGUCGGAUUUAAUACGGUCGGCUAUUGACUGUACCUGCAGAAAAAGCACCGUUUAACUAC
RNAcentral lists this ribosomal RNA (378 nucleotides) under uncultured bacterium. Its description in RNAcentral is "bacterial SSU rRNA". It matches the Rfam family "Bacterial small subunit ribosomal RNA", at positions 133 to 504 of the family's 1533-position model. The record is from RNAcentral.